ACGUAGGGGGCGAGCGUUGUCCGGAAUUACUGGGCGUAAAGGGUGCGUAGGUGGCCUUUUAAGUUGGAUGUGAAAUACCCGAGCUUAACUUGGGGGGUGCAUCUAAUACUGGGAGGCUAGAGUGCAGGAGAGGGAAGCGGAAUUCCUAGUGUGGCGGUGAAAUGCUUAGAUAUUAGGAGGAACGCCAGUGGCGAAGGCAGCUUUCUGGUCUAUAACUGACACUGAGGCACGAAAGCGUGGGGAGCAAACAG
This 251-nucleotide ribosomal RNA is filed under the name uncultured prokaryote. Its description in RNAcentral is "partial 16S rRNA". It matches the Rfam family "Bacterial small subunit ribosomal RNA", at positions 525 to 775 of the family's 1533-position model. The record is from RNAcentral.